UCAAAUGUUUUUAUUUAAAUAACAAAACACGUUAAGUAGUAAACCAAUUGAAAGAACAAACACAACUUCAAUCUACUAAAGACAAGAAUUUAAUGUUAAAAAUAAAACUGUCAUACAUUUUCUGUGGCUUUUCUUCUUCUUUUUUUUCUUUCUUUUUUAAACUAACAACCCAUAACUGAUCCUGUAUGACUCCUGAAUCUGGGAAGCGAUCUGUAGUGCAAACGUUGUCAGCGAAGUUUCAUUCCCGUUAAUUGUUUUAUUUAGCGACAAACUGGACAUAUUUUUAUAUUUAAGGUCAUUUUAUGUCUGGCUAGGGUUGGGCAUUGCCGGAAAUUGUUGUAUUGUGACUUAAUGCAAUAUAUGCAUGUGCAUUGCUGUACGUAUUGCGGGAAAUGUCAAUAUUUGGUAUAUAUAUAAUAAAUAAAAAUAAAAUAUAUAUAUAUAUAUAUAUAUAUAUAUAUAUAUAUAUAUAUAUAAAUUAACAAUUAAAAAUGUUCAUUUAAGAAACGAUUCUUAUUGUCCAUGUCUGUGUUGUUAUGUUGGUAAGGUUCAGAACACUAGUAAACCUAAGUAAAGGUAAACUGGUAGACUUUAGAAAAAACACACAAAAAAACAACAACAAACAAACAUUACCCCGAACGUUUUGCGGUUACUGUUCUAUUCUGAUCAUUCAGAUAUUAGUAUAAUUACACAUUUAAAAGCAAAUGGCUAAUUUAUAUGUUUAAAAUAUAUAAUUAUAUAUAUAUAUAUAUAUAUAUAUAUAAUGAAAUUGUGCACGAAAAUGCGAUUUAUGAACAUUUCCGAUCAGUGACUGAAACUCCCGAGAGUAUUGUGUAGAAAAAUGUACUGCGAUAUAUCGUAUCGGGACUUGCUGUAAACCGGUAAUACCGCCCAAACCCUAUAUCGGACACAUUAAGUUUGAAGGGACAAUCCUGAGUUUUCAGCCAUUGUAAGGUGUUUCCGACUGACACAAGACAUUUUGGUAACUAAAAUUACACAUUAACUACAUGGUCGUCUCUAGAAUACCAGUGUCUGUAUAUUCAAUGUGUCUGCAGUCGUAUGCUAAUAUUUGUAGCACUCAUUUUUCAUUUGGCUUGGUGAUAUAUACUAGGUACUAUAUACUUGGUAAUAUAUACUAGGUAAUAUAUACUAGGUACUAUAUACUAGGUACUAUAUACUUGGUAAUACAUAGUUGGUAAUAUAUACUUGUUCCUACGCACCAGAAUUAUUGCGAGGUAAAAUCUGGUUUGAGUUAUUACAAAUAUUAGGACGGCAACAACAGACACCUGACUUAUAACGACGCCGAGAGCCUAAAAACAAAAAUAUAUCUUUAAUAUGCAGGUUUAGUCAGGAAAAAAACCCGGCUCUGUUAGUAAGAAGCAUCUUGCAAUGGCUGCAAACUGAGGAGAGUGUCUUUAAGAACCACACAGAUGACAGGUAGGCCUAACUAGCUGCCAGCCCCUAUCGUGGACACAUCCACCGGGGAAUCUUUGGGAAUGUGCACACGACAGUCGUGCUUGAACCUUCAGUGGAUGUAAACACAACUCAAAUGGUUGAUUGAUUCUAUCUGCCAGCACGAAGCUGGUUACUCUUUUAUAUUAGCAGCAAGUUAUUAUUUUAUAUAAUGCACCAUUUCACAGACAGGAUAGCAUUAUACCAUGGCCGUUGCUGCACCAGUACGCCGAGCACUGGCUCGGGCGAGAAAUAGCCCGAUGGAACCACAGAAGAGGAUUGAUCCUAUAUCGAUCGAAUACCAGGUCAGUGUAUUAACACCGUGCUACGUCCAUCCCAACCUUCCCAAUCCCACAGGUGAGACAAGUGUCAUUAAUCAUAUGCUUUCAUACAUAAGUUCUUACCCAGCACGUCUAUCUGCGUUUGCAACCGUUAAACAACCAUGGUCAAUGCGAUAUCAUACUACUGUACAUGCAAAGUAACCACACACACACACACACACACACACACACACACGCACACACACGAAAACAAAUUGCUAAUUAUUUAACAAUGUUUAAUU
Gigantopelta aegis is the source of this 2014-nucleotide long non-coding RNA. RefSeq lists it as uncharacterized. Lineage: Eukaryota; Metazoa; Mollusca; Gastropoda; Neomphalida; Peltospiridae. The transcript is spliced from 2 exons. The record is from RefSeq and is a predicted model, not a curated record.